ACGAGUACAUCAGAGAAGAAUCGAGACCACGAAGUCACAAGGAGUUUCUGUCGAGGAGCCUGAGACAGUGGGAUUCAGCUUCAAGUGGGACGCUUUGCUCACCAUUAAAUUUCUUGUGUCUUCUCUUCGUUCAGUGUUCUCUAAUGUGUUUGCUCGGUCAGUCAUUUCACUCUUAGGCUAUGCUGCUUCAAAUGAAAUAGCCAGGCAAGCUGCUCAAAUCCUGUUUAAUCCAGACACAGACUACGACGAGGUAGGACGAUUUAAUUGGC
Long non-coding RNA from Musa acuminata AAA Group (dessert banana), 269 nucleotides. RefSeq lists it as uncharacterized. Lineage: Eukaryota; Viridiplantae; Streptophyta; Magnoliopsida; Zingiberales; Musaceae. The transcript has 2 exons. The record is from RefSeq and is a predicted model, not a curated record.